Salvia splendens (bonfire salvia) is the source of this 798-nucleotide long non-coding RNA. RefSeq lists it as uncharacterized. The record is from RefSeq and is a predicted model, not a curated record. The transcript is spliced from 2 exons. NCBI's taxonomy places the organism in Eukaryota, Viridiplantae, Streptophyta, Magnoliopsida, Lamiales, Lamiaceae.
GAUAUUAUUUUCUAAACUAGAAGAAGACUCUCUUUUAUUUAUUUUAGCCCAAAAAUUAAUUAAAUUCGAAAAUGGGCCUCACACCCAAAAUGUAAUGCAGCCCCAAAAUUAAUAUGAAGGAGGUUGGGCUCGAAUUAAUUGCAUAGCCUAAUGCUAGUUAUAUUAAUGGCCCAAAACCAUUUAAUUCAUUAGCCCAAGACUUAAGCCCAAAUUAAAGAAACCAUAUGUUAAAGACCUAAGUCUUCUUCUUCCUCAUUUCACAAAUACGCAGCAGCUUCUCUUCUCCAGCCUCACCGCCGCCUCCCGCCGUCGCCAUCCUCAGCACCACCGUCUGCCGACGUCUCCUCCCUCUUCUCUCUCUCUCUCCUCUCUUCCUCUCUUCUCCCCCCCUCUCUCUGACUCACGGCUAUGCUCACGCCGCCGCCGAUUCGUCGUCAUCGUCCAGCCACUGCAGCCGCUGCUCCGUCGCCGCCGGAAGACGCUGCUGUCGCCACCGGAAGCCGCGACGCCGCUGCUGUCGCCGUCCGUCGUUGCCGCGCAGUCACCUCGCCAGGAAGACGCUGCUCGCCGGUGGUCGUGCAGCCCCGAAUAUCACCGCAACUAACCGAACAGCCCCGCACCACCCCGAAAUUCUCGAUUUCUGACUUGCCGAUAAGUUCUUACUUGUUUUGGUGAAGUAUAAUCGGUUCAAGUUUGUGGCCGUCCAUGUUGAAGUACCCGCUUCCAUACGAUGUAUAAAUUAAAUUUUGUUGGACUUUUGUUGGAUGUAUCGGACAUUAAAAUUUUUAUUUGGUGUUA